Molecule: ribosomal RNA, 502 nt
Filed under: uncultured Diversispora
Lineage: Eukaryota; Fungi; Glomeromycota; Glomeromycetes; Diversisporales; Diversisporaceae
Description: SSU rRNA
Rfam family: Eukaryotic small subunit ribosomal RNA
Source: RNAcentral
CCAAUAGCGUAUAUUAAAGUUGUUGCAGUUAAAAAGCUCGUAGUUGAACUUCGGGGUUUACCCAUUGGUCAGGCUUAAUUGUCUGUACUGGUGAGAUGAAUCUCUACCUUCUGAGGAACUUUCAUGCCAUUUAGUUGGUGUGAUAGGAAAUCAGGACUGUUACUUUGAAAAAAUUAGAGUGUUUAAAGCAGGCUAACGUCUGAAUACAUUAGUAUGGAAUAAUGAAAUAGGACGGACUGGUUCUAUUUCGUUGGUUUCUAGGAUCACCGUAAUGAUUAAUAGGGAUAGUUGGGGGCAUUAGUAUUCAAUUGUCAGAGGUGAAAUUCUUGGAUUUAUUGAAGACUAACUAUUGCGAAAGCAUUUGCCAAGGAUGUUUUCAUUAAUCAAGAACGAAAGUUAGGGGAUCGAAGACGAUCAGAUACCGUCGUAGUCUUAACCAUAAACUAUGCCGACUAGGGAUCGGACGAAGUUAAUUUUAUAAUGACGCGUUCGGCACCUUACG